GAUGAAGAACGCAGCGAAAUGCGAUAAGUAAUGUGAAUUGCAGAAUUCAGUGAAUCAUCGAAUCUUUGAACGCACAUUGCGCCCGCCAGUAUUCUGGCGGGCAUGCCUGUCUGAGCGUCAUUUCAACCCUCAUGCCCCUAGGGCGUGGUGUUGGGGAUCGGCCAAAGCCCGCGAGGGACGGCCGGCCCCUAAAUCUAGUGGCGGACCCGUCGUGGCCUCCUCUGCGAAGUAGUGAUAUUCCUCAUCGGAGAGCGAUGAGCCCCUGCCGUUAAACCCCCAACUUUCCAAGGUUGACCUCAGAUCAGGUAGGAAUACCCGCUGAACUUAAGCAUAUCAAUAGCGGAGGA
RNAcentral lists this unclassified non-coding RNA (347 nucleotides) under soil metagenome. Its description in RNAcentral is "partial contains 5.8S ribosomal RNA, internal transcribed spacer 2, and large subunit ribosomal RNA". The stretch from base 1 to 120 matches the Rfam family "5.8S ribosomal RNA", at positions 35 to 154 of the family's 154-position model. The record is from RNAcentral.